Molecule: long non-coding RNA, 572 nt
Filed under: Mytilus galloprovincialis (Mediterranean mussel)
Lineage: Eukaryota; Metazoa; Mollusca; Bivalvia; Mytilida; Mytilidae
Source: RNAcentral
CGGUGCUCUGUCUCCGUGGAUUUUCAUCAUUCCUGGUUCCCUGCUAAAUGUGUGAAUCCUACCAUUGUUCUUCAUUGUGUUGCUUUUUGAAUGAUACGUCUCAAAAUAGUCUUUGUUAAAUUUCAUUGAAUUGUCAGAUACUUCUCCCAUUGAUUCGAUUUUCCCAAAACGUUUCAAAUCGACUUCUUCUGUCUUGUGUUGUAACAUGAAAGAUGAGGAUGUGGGUCCAGCUGAGUCUUUCAUUGGUCCAGAAAGUAGGUAUCCGAGUUUUGAUUCUACUGCGGUCGGGCCUGGUCCUCGGAUAACUGUGUCUUCUACGAUAUCCCAGUAGUAAUCCGAACCUAUUAAAAAUGAAAUCCUGAAUUUAUCCAUGUCGCUAACAGGGUGCGCUAAUGUAAGUCCACUGAGGUAAGGCAGUUUAGCAGCAUUGUAUGGCAUGCGAUUGUGUAACGGGGCUGCGAUAGUAGGGACAAUAAAUACUUCCAUUGGUAUUUUCUUCCCAUUCUGAGUUUGUAAAUCUAUUACGGCAAUGUCCAAAUUGCGUAUAUUUCUGUUUUCAUCUCCAAAUGCUG